UGGGGAAUAUUGGACAAUGGGCGAAAGCCUGAUCCAGCCAUGCCGCGUGUGUGAAGAAGGUCUUCGGAUUGUAAAGCACUUUAAGUUGGGAGGAAGGGUAGUAACCUAAUACGUUGCUACUUUGACGUUACCGACAGAAUAAGCACCGGCUAACUUCGUGCCAGCAGCCGCGGUAAUACGAAGGGUGCAAGCGUUAAUCGGAAUUACUGGGCGUAAAGCGCGCGUAGGUGGUUCAGUAAGUUGGAAGUGAAAUCCCCGGGCUCAACCUGGGAGCUGCUUUCAAAACUGCUGAGCUAGAGUACGGUAGAGGGUGGUGGAAUUUCCUGUGUAGCGGUGAAAUGCGUAGAUAUAGGAAGGAACACCAGUGGCGAAGGCGACCACCUGGACUGAUACUGACACUGAGGUGCGAAAGCGUGGGGAGCAAACA
RNAcentral lists this ribosomal RNA (427 nucleotides) under uncultured bacterium. RNAcentral describes it as "partial 16S ribosomal RNA". It matches the Rfam family "Bacterial small subunit ribosomal RNA", at positions 355 to 774 of the family's 1533-position model. The record is from RNAcentral.